This 1368-nucleotide ribosomal RNA is filed under the name uncultured rumen protozoa. RNAcentral's name for it is "SSU rRNA". It matches the Rfam family "Eukaryotic small subunit ribosomal RNA", at positions 318 to 1828 of the family's 1831-position model. The record is from RNAcentral.
GCUUUCGAUGGUAGUGUAUUGGACUACCAUGGCUUUCACGGGUAACAGGGAAUUAGGGUUCGAUUCUGGAGAAGGAGCCUGAGAAACGGCUACUACAUCUACGGAAGGCAGCAGGCGCGUAAAUUACCCAAUCCUGACUCAGGGAGGUGGUGACAAGAUAUAACAACGAGACUUUAAAUCUCGAUUGUAGUGAGGGUUUUCUAAAUAGAACCUAUAGUACGAUUAGAGGGCAAGUCUGGUGCCAGCAGCCGCGGUAAUUCCAGCUCUAAUAGCGUAUAUUAAAGUUGCUGCAGUUAAAAAGCUCGUAGUUGGAUUUCAAGGUAUGUAUUAUCUUUUUGAUAAUACAGCCUACUAGUCAUUGACUGUUACUGUGAGAAAAUUAGAGUGUUUAAAGCAGGCUUUUGCAAGAAUACAUUAGCAUGGAAUAACGAAUGUAUUUAGAAUCGUGGUUUAAUUCUAAAUUACGAUUAAUAGAGACAGUUGGGGGCAUUAGUAUUUAAUUGUCAGAGGUGAAAUUCUUGGAUUUGUUAAAGACUAACGUAUGCGAAAGCAUUUGCCAAGGAUGUUUUCAUUAAUCAAGGACGAAAGAUAGGGGAUCAAAGACAAUCAGAUACUGUCGUAGUCCUAUCUAUAAACUAUGCCAACUAGGGAUUGGAAAUGGAUAUAUACCAUUUCAGUACCUUAUGAGAAAUCAAAAGUCUUUGGGUUCUGGGGGGAGUAUGGUCGCAAGACUGAAACUUAAAGAAAUUGACGGAAGGGCACCACCAGGAGUGGAGCCUGCGGCUUAAUUUGACUCAACACGGGGAAACUUACCAGGUCAAGACGUAGUAAGGAUUGACAGAUUGAUAGCUCUUUCUUGAUUCCAUGGGUGGUGGUGCAUGGCCGUUCUUAGUUGGUGGAGUGAUUUGUCUGGUUAAUUCCGAUAACGAACGAGACCUUAACCUGCUAACUAGAUUCAAUUAUAAUAUAAUUGAUAUCUUCUUAGAGGGACUAUGUAAUACAAAUACAUGGAAGUUUGAGGCAAUAACAGGUCAGUGAUGCCCUUAUAUGUCCUGGGCUGCACGCGUGCUACACUGAUACAUACAACAAGUGCCUAAUCAGACAUGGUAUGGCAAUCUCUAAUAUGCAUCGUGAUAGGGAUAGAUCUUUGCAAUUAUAGAUCUUGAACGAGGAAUUCCUAGUAAGUGCAAGUCAUCAUCUUGCAUUGAUUAUGUCCCUGCCCUUUGUACACACCGCCCGUCGCUCCUACCGAUACCGGGUGAUCCGGUGAACCUUUUGGACUCAUUUGGGAAAGAUAAGUAAACCAUAUCACCUAGAGGAAGGAGAAGUCGUAACAAGGUUUCCGUAGGUGAACCUGCAGAAGGAUCA